AACGGGUGAGUAACACGUGGGUAACUGCCCCGACGACGGGACAACCGAGGAAACUCGGGCGUAAUACCGGAUGUGCUCGCCGGCUCAAGGCGGCGUGGAAAGGAAGCUUCGGCCUCCGCAUCGGGAUGGGCCCGUGGCCAUUAGCUUGUUGGUGGGGUAACGGCCACCAAGGCUUCGAUGGGUAGCUGGUCUGAGAGGACGAUCAGCCACACCGGGACUGAACACGGCCCAGACUCCUACGGGAGGCAGCAGUGGGGAAUCUUGCGCAAUGCGCGAAAGCGUGACGCAGCAACGCCGCGUGAGGGAAGACGGCCUUCGGGUUGUAAACCUCUUUCAGUUGGGACGAAGCUUCGCCGGUGAACAGCCGGCUGGAGUGACGGUACCUUCAGAAGAAGCCCCGGUAACUACGUGCCAGCAGCCGCGGUAAAUAACGUUACGGGGCAAGCCGUUGUCCGGGAAUUCAUUGGGGCGUAAAAGCGGCGUGUAAGGCUGUACGGGUAAAGUCCG
Molecule: ribosomal RNA, 507 nt
Filed under: uncultured bacterium
Lineage: Bacteria
Description: bacterial SSU rRNA
Rfam family: Bacterial small subunit ribosomal RNA
Source: RNAcentral